UCUGGAAAGUUGAAUCAAAGAAGGUAAUAAUCCUGUAGUUGAAAAUAUAUUCUCUCUUGAGUGGAUCCUGAGUACGACGGAGCACGUGAAAUUCCGUCGGAAUCUGGGAGGACCAUCUCCUAAGGCUAAAUACUCUCUAGUGACCGAUAGUGAACCAGUACCGUGAGGGAAAGGUGAAAAGUACCCCGGAAGGGGAGUGAAAGAGAACUUGAAACCGUGUGCUUACAAGUAGUCAGAGCCCGUUAAUGGGUGAUGGCGUGCCUUUUGUAGAAUGAACCGGCGAGUUACGAUCUGAUGCAAGGUUAAGCAGCAAAUGUGGAGCCGUAGCGAAAGCGAGUCUGAAUAGGGCGUUGAGUAUUUGGUCGUAGACCCGAAACCAGGUGAUCUACCCUUGGUCAGGUUGAAGUUCAGGUAACACUGAAUGGAGGACCGAACCGACUUACGUUGAAAAGUGAGCGGAUGAACUGAGGGUAGCGGAGAAAUUCCAAUCGAACUUGGAGAUAGCUGGUUCUCUCCGAAAUAGCUUUAGGGCUAGCCUCAAGUGAUGAUUAUUGGAGGUAGAGCACUGUUUGGACGAGGGGCCCCUCUCGGGUUACCGAAUUCAGACAAACUCCGAAUGCCAAUUAAUUUAACUUGGGAGUCAGAACAUGGGUGAUAAGGUCCGUGUUCGAAAGGGAAACAGCCCAGACCACCAGCUAAGGUCCCAAAAUAUAUGUUAAGUGGAAAAGGAUGUGGCGUUGCCCAGACAACUAGGAUGUUGGCUUAGAAGCAGCCAUCAUUUAAAGAGUGCGUAAUAGCUCACUAGUCGAGUGACACUGCGCCGAAAAUGUACCGGGGCUAAACAUAUUACCGAAGCUGUGGAUUGUCCUUUGGACAAUGGUAGGAGAGCGUUCUAAGGGCGUCGAAGCAUGAUCGCAAGGACAUGUGGAGCGCUUAGAAGUGAGAAUGCCGGUGUGAGUAGCGAAAGACGGGUGAGAAUCCCGUCCACCGAUUGACUAAGGUUUCCAGAGGAAGGCUCGUCCGCUCUGGGUUAGUCGGGUCCUAAGCUGAGGCCGACAGGCGUAGGCGAUGGAUAACAGGUUGAUAUUCCUGUACCACCUAGUAUCGUUUUAAUCGAUGGGGGGACGCAGUAGGAUAGGCGAAGCG
RNAcentral lists this ribosomal RNA (1146 nucleotides) under Pseudomonadota bacterium. RNAcentral's name for it is "Proteobacteria bacterium partial 23S ribosomal RNA". It matches the Rfam family "Bacterial large subunit ribosomal RNA", at positions 341 to 1493 of the family's 2925-position model. The record is from RNAcentral. Lineage: Bacteria; Pseudomonadati; Pseudomonadota.